This 459-nucleotide ribosomal RNA is filed under the name uncultured bacterium. Its description in RNAcentral is "partial 16S ribosomal RNA". It matches the Rfam family "Bacterial small subunit ribosomal RNA", at positions 338 to 795 of the family's 1533-position model. The record is from RNAcentral.
CCUACGGGAGGCAGCAGUGAGGAAUAUUGGUCAAUGGUCGGGAGACUGAACCAGCCAAGCCGCGUGAGGGAUGAAGGUACAGAGUAUCGUAAACCUCUUUUGUCAGGGAACAAAGGCGGGGACGUGUCCCCGGAUGAGUGUACCUGAAGAAAAAGCAUCGGCUAACCCCGUGCCAGCAGCCGCGGUAAUACGGAGGAGGCGAGCGUUAUCGGUAUUUAUGGGGUUUAAAGGGUGCGCAGGCGGUCGGUUAAGUGAGGGGUAAAAGCCCGGGGCGAAACCCCGGCCCGCCGUUGAAACUGGCAGUCUCGAGUGGGAGAGAAGUAUGCGGAAUGCGCGGUGUAGCGGUGAAAUGCAUAGAUAUCGCGCAGAACUCCGAUUGCGAAGGCAGCAUGCCGGCUCCACACUGACGCUGAGGCACGAAAGCGUGGGUAUCGAACAGGAUUAGAUACCCUUGUAGUC